Molecule: long non-coding RNA, 1511 nt
Organism: Clupea harengus (Atlantic herring)
Lineage: Eukaryota; Metazoa; Chordata; Actinopteri; Clupeiformes; Clupeidae
Source: Ensembl
UUUAUUUAUUUGCUUAUUUAUUUGCUGUUUAAUUAUUUAUUUACCAAUGUACUGUGUAUACUCUUAUUUAUUUCAUGCUUUCUGUGUCUGUGCGAAAUUGAAACCAUUGACUGAUGGGGCGUCAUUGUUUUAUGCUUUUUUGAGCCCCAUUAAUAUACCAAAGACGAACAUUACUCUCCCUGAAUGUAGUGUGAUUCUUCCCUCAAUGUUAUUGUUAAACAUACGGGAUAGGCCUGUGUUUAAUAUGUUUAAAAGUCUAUUUGUAUUCUUGGCAAAUGUCUCAUUGUUCAGAUACUUAUGCCAAAGUUAGUUUGAAAGUGAAGAGUUUGUGAUAGCGCAUUGGUUUGAGAUUUGCUGUGAUCGUCGGCGGGCCCUACGGCCGAAGUGUGUCCAUGUCCCCAUGACGAUUAUACUACAGUAUAUAUGUGAAUAUAUACAGUGCAUGCAGACAGCAAAUGAAGUAUCUCCAUGAUAUGAUUUCUAUCCAUCUUUCCCCUUGCAGUUAUUAGCAUACUGGAGGGACUGUGGAUCAGUGUGUGGUUGUGUGUGGAGAGUGGAGAAGGGGGGUGGGGUUGGGGCACGGGUGGCUUGUUUAUUUUUUUCUUCUUCUUUUGUUUUGUUUGUUUCCACUGAGCUUGGCCACGGUGGUCUGUCUUUAACCUUUCGGAGGGGCGUGUCGUGGAGCCCCGUUACAGCAUGCACUUGAAAGUGGGGGCCCAUGAAAGAGGCCAUCGACUUCCAGCAGACUUCAAAGAGGCCCUCUUUCUAUUUUUUUUUUUCAUGUGUCUCCUCUCCACGCAGCCUGUCUGGGGUGCAGACCUGCUCCGACCCAUGGGCUUUGGACAUUCAAAGGGGCGGGCAGAUCAGAGAAGGGGGCUGAAUCACCCCAAAAAAUUGAAGGAUUGAGGGAAGGUGGGGGUGGGGGUGGGGGGGUUGCAGGCAGCGGAAUUAAACUUUAAUGGCUGCCAACUGUAAGUGUGCUGUGGGAAGGGAGAUGGGUAGCGGUAGCUGAGGGAAGUCUCAAGUCCUGUGGCCGCGUUUCUGCUCCAGUCUGACACGGUCUCGCCCAUUUAUGGGACUUGCAGAUGCACACGUCUACGUCAGAAAUCACGGCUCCUACAAAACGAAACCACACUCGGUCAAACGUGGGAGUAAUCACACAGUGUUGGACGUGUUGUGAUUUUAAAGGUUCAAAGUGGGGUUAGGUUUUCGUGUUUUUUUUGCCCCCCCCUUGUUAUUUGAGGGCCUGGUCAAAUCUGCGGCCUAGUAAUGAAUGUACUGUCUUUGGCGCCAUCUAGUGGUGAAAUUGUGAAUGAUCUCCAGUGUGACCACAAAGGAACAGAUGGAGUGGAGCAAAAGCCCCAAAUUACCCAGGCUGUUUCAAGAGAAAGCAAGGAAUGUUGAGAACAACAAAUAAUCUUAAAAAACAACACCAACCAGCGGCGAAAGGAUAUAAAUGAGAUGUAGAAAAAAAACCUAAACCACUCUACUUCUCUACUCUUGUGCCCGUC